Molecule: ribosomal RNA, 1358 nt
Filed under: metagenome
Description: bacterial LSU rRNA
Rfam family: Bacterial large subunit ribosomal RNA
Source: RNAcentral
CCCAAAAUCCAUGAUCCUAUGCUGCCGAGAAAAGCCUCUAGCGAGCUGGUACAUGGCCCGUACCCCAAACCGACACAGGUGGUCAGGUAGAGAAUACUAAGGCGAUCGAGAGAACUGUGGUUAAGGAACUCGGCAAAAUGCCCCCGUAACUUCGGGAGAAGGGGGACCAGUCCUGGUGACGACAUUUACUGUCUGAGCUGGGGUUGGUCGCAGAGACCAGAGAGAAGCGACUGUUUACUAAAAACACAGGUCCGUGCGAAGUCGUAAGACGAUGUAUACGGACUGACGCCUCCCCGGUGCUGGAAGGUUAAGAGGACCGGUCAGCCACUUCGGUGGCGAAGCUGAGAAUUUAAGCCCCAGUAAACGGCGGUGGUAACUAUAACCAUCCUAAGGUAGCGAAAUUCCUUGUCGGGUAAGUUCCGACCUGCACGAAUGGCGUAACGACUUCUCUGCUGUCUCAACCACAGACUCGGCGAAAUUGCAGUACGAGUAAAGAUGCUCGUUACGCGCGGCAGGACGAAAAGACCCCGGGACCUUCACUAUAGCUUGGUAUUGGUGUUCGGUUCGGUUUGUGUAGGAUAGGUGGGAGACUGUGAAACUCGCACGCCAGUGUGGGUGGAGUCAUUGUUGAAAUACCACUCUGACCGUAUUGGACAUCUAACCUCGGACCAUGAUCUGGUUCAGGGACAGUGCCUGGUGGGUAGUUUAACUGGGGCGGUUGCCUCCCAAAAAGUAACGGAGGCGCCCAAAGGUUCCCUCAGCCUGGUUGGCAAUCAGGUGUUGAGUGUAAGUGCACAAGGGAGCUUGACUGUGAGACGUACAUGUCGAGCAGGGACGAAAGUCGGGACUAGUGAUCCGGCACCGGCAAGUGGAAGCGGUGUCGCUCAACGGAUAAAAGGUACCCCGGGGAUAACAGGCUGAUCUUCCCCAAGAGUCCAUAUCGACGGGAUGGUUUGGCACCUCGAUGUCGGCUCGUCGCAUCCUGGGGCUGGAGUAGGUCCCAAGGGUUGGGCUGUUCGCCCAUUAAAGCGGCACGCGAGCUGGGUUUAGAACGUCGUGAGACAGUUCGGUCUCUAUCCGCCGCGCGCGUAAGAAACUUGAGGAAACCUGUCCCUAGUACGAGAGGACCGGGACGGACGAACCUCUGGUGUGCCAGUUGUUCCACCAGGAGCACCGCUGGUUAGCUACGUUCGGAAGGGAUAACCGCUGAAAGCAUCUAAGCGGGAAGCCUGUUCCAAGAUGAGGUUUCUCACCACCUAGCGUGGUUAAGGCCCCCCACAGACCAUGGGGUUGAUAGGCCAGAACUGUAAGCACAGCAAUGUGUUCAGGUGACUGGUACUAAUCGGCCGAGGACUUAC